Molecule: ribosomal RNA, 433 nt
Filed under: uncultured bacterium
Lineage: Bacteria
Description: partial 16S ribosomal RNA
Rfam family: Bacterial small subunit ribosomal RNA
Source: RNAcentral
AGUGAACGCUGGCGGCGUGCCUAAUACAUGCAAGUCGAACGGAGUGGCGCACGGGUGAGUAAUAUAUAGCUAAUCUGCCCCUUGCUGGAGGACAACAGUUAGAAAUGACUGCUAAUACUCCAUAGCAAGUGAUGAGACUAUAUCGUAUCAGCUAGUCGGUGGGGUAACGGCCUACCGAGGCUAUGACGCGUAACUUGUCUGAGAGGAUGAUCAGUCACAUUGGAACUGAGACACGGGCCAAACUCCUACGGGAGGCAGCAGUAGGGAAGAUUGCGCAAUGGGGGAAACCCUGACGCAGCAACGCCGCGUGGAGGAUGACACUUUUCGGAGCGUAAACUCCUUUUGUUAAGGGGGUGAGAGUGGAAAGUUCACACAGUGACGGUACUUAACCAGAAAGGGACGGCUAACUACGUGCCAGCAGCCGCGGUAAUUC